GUCCAGGUGCUCCUGUGUGUCCUGGAGGCCCUAUUUCACUUUGACCUCCGGAGGAAAACAAUUACAGUGCAUGAAGUCUACAGUGAAUGCAAAUACAGAUGUACAGAAUAGAAAUACCAGCUGCAGAUGAUGAUGUUCUUUUUGUGAUUAGUCUAUCUCUAGUUGUCUGGUUCUCAUAUGUAACCUGGGUGGAGUUUUGUUGAAUCUGGCCCUCAUUCAUCCUUUCAAAGUACAGUGUUUGCUGGAAGUGUUUUGACAACUGAAGAAUGAACUACAUCAUUAACAGUUGAAGCCUGUUUUGAAGAAGGAGCAUCAUUUCUAGAUUGAUGGAUAGUGAAGGAAAUAUGAAAGCAGCAGAGGAAAUUUGUAACACAUUUGUCAACACUUCAUUAUAACAUUAACACUGGGCCUAAAAUGAUUUCCAUAAAAUGAAUGAGUGAAGUUAGCUUCAUAAAACUAAUAAAAUGCCUGCUCCUAAAGAAGAACAGGACACUUCUGCAACUAACAAGUUUUCACUAUCAGAUAAUCCUGGCAAUCCUCUGUGGCCUGGAAUUCCUGGAAGACCAUAACUGUUAUCACCUGGAACACCUUUCUGGCCUGCAAGUCCAGGAAUGCCAGGAAAACCUGGGGCACCGUCAGGAGAAGAACCCCUUUC
Mauremys mutica (yellowpond turtle) is the source of this 655-nucleotide long non-coding RNA. RefSeq lists it as uncharacterized. The record is from RefSeq and is a predicted model, not a curated record. Lineage: Eukaryota; Metazoa; Chordata; Testudines; Geoemydidae. The transcript has 5 exons.